CCUGUGGGAAGAAACGUGGGCUCUGGACCACCCUGGCCUGUCUCCAGAGGCGCAGCCCUGGCGGCACCAAAUCAGCACUCUCAGACAUGACCUCAGCCUGUGCCCUCACAGGAGGUCAGCCAGUUGGGAGAUCUCUGCCGUCUCAAACUCAGGGCCUUGGGGAGUGGUACUGGACCAAGCGCUGGCCCGAGCCAGAUGCGAUGGCUGGUGCCACAGCAGCCGCUCCGCGUCACCUGGAGGAACGCUCUGCAGAGGAUGGGAAAAUGCAAGCUGGCAGCUCAGGAGCCCUCCUAGGACCCCAAUCCCACUACACCGCUUGGGAAGGCAUCUGCUCCUUCUCCGUCCAAUGUCCUGGGGGAAGGACUGGCUGGGAGGAGUAGAGGGGGUGUGUGUGUGGCAUAAUCAGACCUCAUGAGAUGGCAGCAGACAGGUUCCACAGUCCCCUCCUCUGCUUGGCAGGCCCCAGGAAGGAGCUGAUAGGACUGAGCCAUCCCUGGGACCUCCUAGCACUUGGGAAUAUCACCCCAAGCCCCACAUCCACCCUGGAUACAUUUAGAUCCUUGGGUGGUUUGUAGAGAUAAACCCAUUUUCCAAGUCUUA
Molecule: long non-coding RNA, 600 nt
Organism: Bubalus bubalis (water buffalo)
Lineage: Eukaryota; Metazoa; Chordata; Mammalia; Artiodactyla; Bovidae
Exons: 2
Source: RefSeq, a predicted model, not a curated record